UGCCACCAGAACCGCCACCCCGCACUUCCCUUUGAACCCCGAAGCAAUUAGACCACCCUGGGAGCUCGUCUCCUUUGCCUCCAGCUGAGGCACGAGCACCCCCUUCCCAUUAUAGCCACCAUUAGCUUCUUACCGACCCAAAAACCCAUCACUCGUUCCAAUUUUGCUCGAGAACCAGUGAGUGUGACUCCCCCUAUAACCCACAAUGUUCGUCCGCCAUGGUUGAUACCUUGCUCAUCUUCGAGCUCUCCGACGGGCGUGAGUGGCAUCCCCUGAAGCGUCGUGCCUCCGUGCACAUUUUGGUGGCCGUGGCACCUCAAAUGGUGGUGUGUGCCGCCUGGUAUCGCCGCCGAAGCCAUUCUCUAUUCUAGUCCACACACGCGUGAGGUAGGAGACAAACCCGACACGUGGGUCCCACCUGUUGGUGACCAACCUUCUUCACCGUCGGCACAUACCAUUGGAUUGCAUAUUUGGAGAGGAGCACUAUGACGACAACCUCCGGAACCUAGGCAUCGAAGAUAGCGGACACGCGAGAUAGGAGUUAUCCAGGUCAGUCUAUGAAUCGCUUCCGCCAUCAGCCACUAGAAACCUUUGUUGUACUCCAUAGACCAUCAUGGUCUUGUACUCCAAAUUUUGUAAAUGCUUGGAUAUUUUGUAUCAAGGAUGUGUCCAUCAGCUAACCUUGGAUAUUUUGUAUCAAGGAUGUGUCCAUCAGCUAACCUUGGUAUCAGUAAUCUCGGGGAUGGUGAGCACAAAGGUCAUUUUUUGGGAAAUUUAUAUCUCGGAAAUCCGGCCCUGAUAACCUUAGUAUCAGAGCCAGUCUAACCAUUGGCUAAUCCUAUCUUAGCCGGGUCAAUAAACCCUAGGUUACCACCCAUCCAAGCCUUAUCCUACCCAUAGCCAAGCCUAUCCUAACUGAUAGCAUGUAUAGUGAUAAUCAUCACCUUUCAGCAGCCGAUGCCCAACCGAUGAGACUAGCCGAGCGGUCACAUGCCUGUGACCAACACCUGAGUUGUCCCAUCCGCAAGUGUGCAAGAGAAGAUUAUGUUUUCUUUCUAUAAAGGAAACGUUUUCUCCAACCCACUACACCACAACCACCUUCCAAAUCCCAAACCGCCAAGAUGUCGGUCCCCGUUGUAUACAAUGAGACCACCGCAUCUGAGCUUGGAGAUUUUGUAGAUGUUCUUGCCAACCUCAGCUGUCGUGGCUUUACCAUAGAAGAGCCCCUGGAAUAUGUUGUGUACCAGCAGCACACGAGUAAUGGCAUCCAUCACUUCCGGGCAAUGGUGCACAUCUACGACAGGGGUAUCUCGCCAGAAUGCCCUUACCAGUUCACCAGAAGGACAACUUCCUAUGAGCCACAAGCCAUCCAGCUAGCAGCUCAACAGGCUAUAGUUCAAAACCGGCACGUGUCAUCGAGGGUUAACUGCCGCUCGUUUUACUACUACCCCUAGCCAUGAAAGUAAUACUAGGCCGCUCCAAAUCGCCAACGGAGACCAUGAGACGGACCCCACCCCGUUGCAUCUUGUGCGCUACAUGAGAGCACAAGAGGCACUGUUCAAGUAGGUCACCGUCGACCUGAUUGCAACUCACGGAAAGCUAGCUCGCCUCACCCCGAGAAGAAGAGAAGCUGCACCCGAUGCCACCAAACCAAUGAUGUUGUUCGGGAGAUCGAUCGAGCCCUCGAGGUCUAUGCCUGCUGCCGACCCAAAUCAUGCGUCCGUCUCCGUGGAAGAGCUCCGUCACAUUUUGGGGAUUUUCUCCAACGGGACGGUAACCACCGCACCCCGUGAUGGACAUCAUCGCUACCCCAGCCAUGUAACUCCACAUUCUACCCGAGUCGACCGCGACAUCGAAGUCCCAGAAGCCUCGACGUCCGCAAGUCCCGCCCGACUAGAUGUCAAGGAAGUAGACUAAGCCACUAGAGUAGUAACCCAAAUUUAGUAUUCCUACGCCCUGCAAUAUUGUGAGCUUGUAUUUUCAUGAGUAAAUUGCAGGACAUUUGUGUACCAUUAUUUUUAAAUAGGACCACCUGUACCUGUGUAAGUAUCUUUUGACUUCUAUCUAUAAAGAAAAAAUUGGGUGAAACAACCAGGAACCAACCUGGUCGACAACCAUAGUAAUAUGUCACAUUUAGUGAAUUAUAUGUGUGGCUUUGACCCGACCACGUUAGAGCAUAACGACAACCGAGAUCGACCACCCUGAAAUGUGUGCGCUAGCCAAACCCUAUAUAAGGAGUCACCCAAUAACCAUCCCCAGCGCCCUCACCUUGUGCAUUGCCUUCACAACCAUUUUUCCCCAUGUCGCGCCUUGGGAUUCAUUUGAGAACCCCGGGGAGUUUUGCUAAGAUAUUGUGGGAUUUUACCCACAGUGCCAUGGGUUGUCCCCACCGACCCUAGUACGAACUGUUCAAAUUAAGGAUCACUUCCACCACCACAAAAAAUUGGGCCGUUGCGCAGAUCCCACCAGUAGAUCCAAACCAAGACCCUACGAAAGUUUCCUUCAUCGGGAAAUGUAUGCCCACUCCAGAAAUGGUCAUAGAGGUUGCUGCCUGCGAAGCAAUUACCCGCCUUCAAUUUGCAGUACCCUAUGCCAGUGAAUUGGGGUAUUAUUACUUUUCGAGCCCUGUAGCACCCAGAGAAGCAGCGUCUUUUCCCAGCACCCGAGCAAAGAGAGAUUCGGUGUUAUCAAGCUUGUGCAGUAUGUCAUCGCUCAAGAGCGUUUGACCCAGCAAGUGAUGGAUUUCCUUCAUACCAUUGUUGUUAUGAAUCCUCAUAUCGCCAUUGGCAGGCCUCUAAGGCCAAACCAAGAAGGACACGUUGUGCGAGUCCUCCAUCCGCUCUCCCCGAAGGACGAAGGAUAUACCCCACUCCCGGGAAUAUUUCCUCAUGACCUAUAUUUUUUUCCUGUACCGUAGACGCCAUGGUUGUAAUCAUUAGCAUAGCUUUUGAUUGUAUGAUGUGAUAUCUGUGUUGUGUUUUAUAAUUUACUAUAUGGGUAUCUUAUGUCAAUUGCAGUUGUUUUGUUGCUAUGAUUUGAAAAUCGAUUGUUUCUUAUUGUAGCAAAUCUCAGGGUGAGAUUUUAUUAAAAGACCAGUGCGACAAAAACUUUUCCAGCAUAAAUUUAAAUUGCAUGCCCUCACGUGGUCCGGCUCACAUCCACACUAGAGUUGCACCAAUUAUUAACUUUUUCACUGUAACCACGUCACAUAGUGUGAGUAGAAUAUUUAUUCUCAUGUUAUUACUGGAUUGCAGUGGGAGUAAAGCUUUUGCUACCACCUUAGAAAAUCUCAAGGACAAGAUUUUUCUUAAGGGGGUAGAGUUUGUAACACCCCAAAAAAUUUAUCAUGUUUUUAUUAAUUAAAAUUUUGUUAGGGAUAUUAAUUUUUAUUUUCUAGAUCCUCUAUUGGUUUUAGAACCAUCCUUUUUCUUUGAAAUUAUAAAAUUUUCCCCUCCAAAUAGAAACCUUUGAAAAAUAUUGUGCGGCUUGAAUGUUUGAAUUAAAAGUAUUUCAUUUCAUUUUUAAAAAUUCAGGGAGAAAUAUUUUUAUAAUGAAGCUUGCCAAAUUUAAUUAUUUUAAUGGCCUUUUUGAAUUC
Molecule: long non-coding RNA, 3595 nt
Organism: Hordeum vulgare subsp. vulgare (domesticated barley)
Lineage: Eukaryota; Viridiplantae; Streptophyta; Magnoliopsida; Poales; Poaceae
Exons: 2
Source: RefSeq, a predicted model, not a curated record